UUCACCCUGAUCCUCCCAUCAAAAAAGUAAAAGUAAAAAUUUCUUUCUUUAACAUAUUUUAAUUUCUUGUACCCUACUCCAUCCAGCUCCAGCCCCCCUCCGACCAAAACAAAUACUUUCGAAUUGUUAUUUCUUAUCCAAUCCUACUCUGCCCCCGCCCCUCAAUACACAGAAAAAAAAAGAAAUUUGAAAUUUUAUUUUACUUUUUUCAAAAAGAGGAAAUCUCAAUUGGAGAGUUACGCUCAGAGUUGGGUGUGGUUAGGUCGUGGAUUGGAAAUAGGGCGACUUUCAACUAGAAAGUCGAAUCUUGGAUUUUGCGUCGAUUGUGAUUUGUUGGGGUCUUGAUUGGGAAAGCAAUCUCGAUUUAGGUGUUGGAAUCAAAUCUCAAAUUGAUCGAUUAUGUUCAGGUUUGGAUAUCGAGGUUAGGUCUUAGGUUGGAUAUGUUGUCCCAGUUCGAAUGCCGGGUUUUGAUUUAAGUUGACUCCACUAAGUAGAAAAUGUCUCGGAUAUUUCAUUAUCGAUUACCUAGCCCAGGAAAGGAAAAGAAAGAGCAAUAUACUAGAGACACCUUUCUAUUCCUUGUCGCAAUGUUUCUAUCACAUGUUGGCUACUUUUCCCUUGCGAAAUCCUAGCUUGUAGGCGUAAGGAAGAUUGGAAGUCGGGAUUGGAUCCUGGGUCAAAUCUUAGGGUUGGUUAUCGGGGUUGUGUUUUAGUUUGAGUGUCGGGGUCGAGGUCAUGGUCGCGUUGCAGAUCAAAGAGGAGACUUGAUGGUGAAGCAGACAUGUUUUCUGUGUCGGUUUUAAUAAGGGCAUUUUUG
This is a non-coding RNA of Solanum lycopersicum (tomato), 817 nucleotides long. The record is from RefSeq and is a predicted model, not a curated record. Lineage: Eukaryota; Viridiplantae; Streptophyta; Magnoliopsida; Solanales; Solanaceae.